Molecule: small nuclear RNA, 127 nt
Organism: Rhineura floridana
Lineage: Eukaryota; Metazoa; Chordata; Lepidosauria; Squamata; Rhineuridae
Source: RefSeq, a predicted model, not a curated record
UAGCAAAUCCAGAGGAGAAGGUUGGCACUCCCCUUGAUAAGGAUGGAAGAGGUCCCAGUGGCCUGUAUGACACAUAUAUGGUUAAAGGCACUGCCACUUACUUUGUGAUGCCUAAGCAGGUGUUGGG